AUAUUGUGGACCUCAGGGACAUCCUGAGGAUCAAAAGAAACCUAAAAAUCCGAAACCAACGGAACAUUGCCUAUGGCCAAAACAGAGGCGUGGAGAACAUCAGAAGCUGUGAUGCCCCACAGGACCUGAGGGAUGUUCUUACUGCACGGCGCAGGGGCUGCAAUGGGCAUAAUAUUGUGGACCUCAGGGACAUCCUGAGGAUCAAAAGAAACCUCAAAAUCCGAAACCAACGGAACAUUGCCUAUGGCCGAAACAGAGGCGUGGAGAACAUCAGAAGCUGUGAUGCCCCACAGGACCUGAGGGAUGUCCUAACUGCACGGCGCAGGGGCCGCAAUGGGCAUUAUAUUGCGGACCUCAGGGACAUCCUGAGGAUCAAAAGAAACCUAAAAAUCCGAAACCAACGGAACAUUGCCUAUGGCCGAAACAGAGGCGUGGAGAACAUCAGAAGCUGUGAUGCCCCACAGGACCUGAGGGAUGUCCUAACUGCACGGCGCAGGGGCCGCAAUGGG
This is a long non-coding RNA of Pseudophryne corroboree (corroboree frog), 509 nucleotides long. RefSeq lists it as uncharacterized. NCBI's taxonomy places the organism in Eukaryota, Metazoa, Chordata, Amphibia, Anura, Myobatrachidae. The transcript has 6 exons. The record is from RefSeq and is a predicted model, not a curated record.